RNAcentral lists this ribosomal RNA (470 nucleotides) under uncultured bacterium. RNAcentral describes it as "bacterial SSU rRNA". It matches the Rfam family "Bacterial small subunit ribosomal RNA", at positions 355 to 823 of the family's 1533-position model. The record is from RNAcentral.
UCGGGAAUUUUGGGCAAUGGGCGCAAGCCUGAUCCAGCCAUGCCGCGUGUGGGAAGAAGGCCUUCGGGUUGUAAACCACUUUUGUCAGGGAAGAAACGGCCUGAUCUAAUACAUUGGGUUAAUGACGGUACCUGAAGAAUAAGCACCGGCUAACUACGUGCCAGCAGCCGCGGUAAUACGUAGGGUGCGAGCGUUAAUCGGAAUUACUGGGCGUAAAGCGUGCGCAGGCGGCUUUGCAAGACAGAUGUGAAAUCCCCGGGCUCAACCUGGGAAUGGCAUUUGUGACUGUAGAGCUAGAGUACGGUAGAGGGGGAUGGAAUUCCGCGUGUAGCAGUGAAAUGCGUAGAUAUGCGGAGGAACACCGAUGGCGAAGGCAAUCCCCUGGACCUGUACUGACGCUCAUGCACGAAAGCGUGGGGAGCAAACAGGAUUAGAUACCCCGGUAGUCCCUGAGCGGGCUGGCAAGGCGC